RNAcentral lists this ribosomal RNA (254 nucleotides) under uncultured bacterium. RNAcentral's name for it is "partial 16S ribosomal RNA". It matches the Rfam family "Bacterial small subunit ribosomal RNA", at positions 524 to 776 of the family's 1533-position model. The record is from RNAcentral.
UACGUAGGGAGCGAGCGUUGUCCGGAUUUAUUGGGCGUAAAGAGCUCGUAGGCGGCUUGGCAAGUCGGAUGUGAAAACUCCAGGCUCAACCUGGAGACGCCAUCCGAUACUGCUAUGGCUUGAGUCCGGUAGGGGACCACGGAAUUCCUGGUGUAGCGGUGAAAUGCGCAGAUAUCAGGAGGAACACCAAUGGCGAAGGCAGCUCGCUGGGACGGUACUGACGCUGAGACGCGAAAGCGUGGGGAGCAAACAGG